CCUACGGGAGGCAGCAGUGAGGAAUAUUGGACAAUGGGCGCAAGCCUGAUCCAGCCAUGCCGCGUGCAGGAAGAAGCAUCUAUGGUGUGUAAACUGCUUUUGUACGGGAAGAAACACUCCUUCGUGAAGGAGCUUGACGGUACCGUAAGAAUAAGGAUCGGCUAACUCCGUGCCAGCAGCCGCGGUAAUACGGAGGAUCCAAGCGUUAUCCGGAAUCAUUGGGUUUAAAGGGUCCGUAGGCGGUUUAAAUAAGUCAGUGGUGAAAUCUGGUCGCUUAACGAUCAAACGGCCAUUGAUACUGUUAGACUUGAAUUAUUUGGAAGUAACUAGAAUAUGUAGUGUAGCGGUGAAAUGCUUAGAUAUUACAUGGAAUACCAAUUGCGAAGGCAGGUUACUACAAAUGGAUUGACGCUGAUGGACGAAAGCGUGGGGAGCGAACAGGAUUAGAUACCCUGGUAGUCCACGCCGUAAACGAUGGAUACUAGCUGUUGGGAGUAAUCUCAGUGGCUAAGCGAAAGUGAUAAGUAUCCCACCUGGGGAGUACGAACGCAAGUUUGAAACUUAAAUGAAUUGACCGGNGNGAGAGAGCGAGACGACGACGAGGGAGGAGG
RNAcentral lists this ribosomal RNA (611 nucleotides) under uncultured bacterium. Its description in RNAcentral is "bacterial SSU rRNA". It matches the Rfam family "Bacterial small subunit ribosomal RNA", at positions 338 to 951 of the family's 1533-position model. The record is from RNAcentral.